RNAcentral lists this ribosomal RNA (865 nucleotides) under Giardia cricetidarum. Its description in RNAcentral is "SSU rRNA". It matches the Rfam family "Eukaryotic small subunit ribosomal RNA", at positions 714 to 1722 of the family's 1831-position model. Lineage: Eukaryota; Fornicata; Diplomonadida; Hexamitidae. The record is from RNAcentral.
GGCGCUGUUGCAGUUAAACGUCCGGAGUCGAGACGUCCAAGCCGGGAGGAAAGAGGAGUGCACAAGACAAGGGGUUGAACGAGAAAGCCCGGGACGGACAGAAAAGGUGAAUGGGGCAAGGACAUGCGUAUUGGUGGGGGACGGGUGAAAUAGGAUGAUCCGACCAAGACGGACGAAGGCGUAAGCACUAGUCAAGGCCAUGUCAGUCGAACCAGGACGAAGGCCGGGGGCGAGAAGGCGAUUAGACACCACCGUAUUCCCGGGCGUAAACGAUGCCACCGAGAACCCGGUACGAAAUCGGGGUCGAAGGGAAACCGCUCAGGGUACGGGCUCUGGGGGGAGUAUGGCCGCAAGGCUGGAACUUGAAGGCAUUGACGGAGGGGUACCACCAGACGUGGAGUCUGCGGCUCAAUUUGACUCAACGCGAACACCUUACCAGGCCCAGACGUAUGGAGGAUCGACAGUCGGAAGGACUUCCGUGAUCAUGCGAGUGGUGGUGCAUGGCCGUUCACAGCCCGUGGCAUGAGCCGUCUGCUUGACUGCGACAACGAGCGAGACCCCAACCGUGAUGGGACUGCCGAUGGCGAAUCGGAGGAAGGCGGGGCGAUAACAGGUCUGUGAUGCCCUUAGACGCCCUGGGCUGCACGCGUACUACACUGUGACGGGAAAUGCCCUACCCCUCGUGACGGGGGGUGGGUGGUUAACACGUCACGUGGUUGGGAUCGUGGGCUGGAAGUGUCCACGUGAACCCGGAAUGUCUAGUAGCGUAGUCAGCAUUCUACGCCGGAUACGUCCCUGCCCCUUGUACACACCGCCCGUCGCUCCUACCGACUGGGUGUCAUGGCGAGGCCUUCCUUCGUUUGAG